This 2104-nucleotide long non-coding RNA is filed under the name Equus asinus (donkey). RNAcentral's name for it is "lncRNA (ENSEASG00005027132.1)". The record is from RNAcentral. Lineage: Eukaryota; Metazoa; Chordata; Mammalia; Perissodactyla; Equidae.
ACGCCUCUCCCCGCCCUGCUCCUGAAAGAAUCCCCAGUCAUUUGGAGGGAAUAGCCCCAGCAGGCUGUGGGGUACAUGCUCGUACAUCUUUGCAUCCUUUUAGGGGAGGACUGAGGCCCCUUCAAUCCAGAGUUCUCUGCUCAGUGCCCUUGCCCAUGGGGAUGUUGGUCUCCUGAUUGCUUUGGAGGGGGAUCCGUGGGGUCUGGCACAGACAGAUGCUGGGGUUCCCUCAUCACUUCCAUUUCUCAGGAAGGAUCAUGUUAUCUUUAACCCCCUUUCCGCUGCUCGUGGUCCUCUGGACAGCCCUUCUCCAGCGUCACAAACAUUUGCUCUUGUUAAGGUUGGGGCCGUUUUCCCUCCCUCCUCUGGGCCUUGCCCGCCCGUGCGCCCCCAACCCCGGCUCCCCCUCGCCUGUGUUACUAGGGAUGCUGUUUUGUUUUCUUUUCUCCCUUUGUUUUGCCUCUUUAAGAAAAGAAAAGUGAGCACCUGAGAAAGAGAGCGAGAGGGAGGCCGAGGGAGAAGAGACGGCGAGCACCAAAUGAUCUGAGAAUGAUAAAGGAAGGUUACCUGUGUGUUUGUCAACAAGAUGAAAUAAAUAAGAGCAAAAAAAAAAGAGGACAGCAGUCAAAGGCAAUCAAAUAUGUAUUUAAUUAAAGCAAACAUAAAAAUAAAAGUUACAUGUUGAAUCAAUAAACAGCACUUUUUUCUACAUGCAUUUUGAACAAGACAGAUCAGAAUCUUGCAUGAUGAAGACAUAAUGUGUCAUAAUAAUCAGGAACACAGACAAAAGAACAGCUAAUCAGCAUGCAAAUGUAUGCAGUUCUGGUGAUUCAGAUGAGGCAGAUUUCUACCUCUUUUUUGCUUGAUUCAUCUUCAUUGCUAAUCAUCUGAAGGCUGCCAAAUGUUCACUGACACUAAUGUAUUAUAGGUCAAGAGAGGCAGGUCUUCACCUAUUACCCCCCCGAACAAUAUGCUUCCCUUCCCUGUUUCCUCUUCAGGAUUUUCAGCAAUCACUGCCAGAUGCAAUCAGACUCCUUGAAUAGGAGCAACUGAGGCUUGUUUGUGGCUCGGAUUCAUUAGAAUCAGGAGGCUGAAGAAAGGAAUAAAUUACUUAAUUGCACAAAAAAGUUGCAGCCAAAGUGAUGGUGAGAGAAACCGAUUGUGUAGAUACGCAUUAGGCCACUCUUGGAAUGGGGCGUCUUAGAAUAGCUGGUACUUUGGCCUCACAGAUUCAGUCAGAUUUGGGUGUCCUCCAAAACAGAUGGCUCCACAUGCCAUCUAUUCUUCUCUUUGUCAGGUUUUACCAUUUAUUUGAUCUUGGUCCCUCUCUGAUGCUGGUUGUAUUAGUUGUAACACAAAUAUGCAUUCAGAUCAUAUCCAUUUAGUCUGGCCUCUCCCAACUUUUUCUUUCUGUCUCUUUUUUUUCUUUUGAGGAGAUGAUCAAGUUGAAUAAAACCCUUGUUGUCCACCUCCUGAAUGCUCCUUCGCACGAGAUGCAGGAAACGGGAAGACCUCACCGGCCUGCCGCGCAGGGACGUGGGCCCCAGCCUGAACUGAGGAGGAGAGAGGGGUUGCUCAAAUGGGGCAAAGAAAGAAAGAAGUUGCUCUAUUUUCUAACCACUGGGAUUCCUUUCUUGCCUCAGACUAACUCUUAAUCUGUUAAAAAAAAUAAAAAUAAAAAGGCACACUGUUAACCAGGGCUGUUCACAUAGAACCAAGGGAGAAGAAACAAAACCGCUCAGAACACUCUCACGUGCUCCGCCCCCCCUUUCUCUGGCACUCCGCGCGUCUCUGGCCGGGGGGCCUCUGUCUCAGGCGUUGCACUCAGGUUUUUGGUCAUGUGCCCGACUUGUGGGUGGUCUUCAAGUCUUGAAGAAGGAACUUCAUUUUCUCUCUGAAGUCCUUGCAUGGCUAGUAGCUGUGUCUCUCUGUCUGUGUGUAUAUGUGUGUGUAUGUAGAGGGUGUGAGAGGAAGAGGUUGAUGCAAGAUGAGGCCCCAGCAGGGAAGAAAUGGGGAAAGAAAUAAUGAAGAUGGAUUUUUAUUUGGAAAAAAAAAAUUCAAAAAGAUGGGAUUUUUCUGGUACUGUUGAGAAAGUAAUUGGCUA